GGACAGAUGGCCGAGCGGUCUAAGGCGCCAGCUUCAGGUGCUGGUAUCUUCGGGUGCGUGGGUUCGAAUCCCACUCUGUUCA
Non-coding RNA from Obelidium mucronatum, 82 nucleotides. The record is from the annotation of a GenBank genome assembly. NCBI's taxonomy places the organism in Eukaryota, Fungi, Chytridiomycota, Chytridiomycetes, Chytridiales, Chytriomycetaceae.